GGCCGCGGGAAUUCGAUUAGAGUUUGAUCAUGGCUCAGAUUGAACGCUGGCGGAAUGCUUUACACAUGCAAGUCGAACGGCAGCACGGGAGCUUGCUCCUGGUGGCGAGUGGCGAACGGGUGAGUAAUGCGUCGGAACGUACCGAGUAACGGGGGAUAACGCGGCGAAAGUCGCGCUAAUACCGCAUACGCCCUGAGGGGGAAAGCGGGGGAUCGCAAGACCUCGCGUCAUUCGAGCGGCCGACGCCUGAUUAGCUAGUUGGUGGGGUAAAGGCUCACCAAGGCGACGAUCAGUAGCGGGUCUGAGAGGAUGAUCCGCCACACUGGGACUGAGACACGGCCCAGACUCCUACGGGAGGCAGCAGUGGGGAAUUUUGGACAAUGGGGGCAACCCUGAUCCAGCCAUUCCGCGUGAGUGAAGAAGGCCUUCGGGUUGUAAAGCUCUUUCAGCUGGAGCGAAACGGUACGCUCUAACAUAGCGUGCUACUGACGGUACCAGCAGAAGAAGCACCGGCUAACUACGUGCCAGCAGCCGCGGUAAUACGUAGGGUGCGAGCGUUAAUCGGAAUUACUGGGCGUAAAGCGUGCGCAGGCGGAUUGUUAAGCAAGACGUGAAAUCCCCGGGCUUAACCUGGGAAUGGCGUUUUGAACUGGCAGUCUAGAGUGCGUCGGAGGGGGUGGAAUUCCACGUGUAGCAGUGAAUGCGUAGAGAUGUAGACACCGAUGGCGAAGCAGCCCCUGGGAUGACACUGAGUCAUGUACGAAAGCGUGGGUAGCAAACAGGAUUAGAUACCUGAGUCCCCGUAACGAUGAGUGGUCGGCAGCUCUGUCUGAGCUACGCAUAAACAUUCGCUGGGUACGACGCAGAUAAUCAAAUGACGGCACGGCAUGGUAUUCGAACGAUUACAGUGA
Molecule: ribosomal RNA, 911 nt
Filed under: uncultured Thiobacillus sp.
Lineage: Bacteria; Pseudomonadati; Pseudomonadota; Betaproteobacteria; Nitrosomonadales; Thiobacillaceae
Description: partial 16S ribosomal RNA
Rfam family: Bacterial small subunit ribosomal RNA
Source: RNAcentral